This 245-nucleotide long non-coding RNA is filed under the name Elaeis guineensis (African oil palm). RNAcentral's name for it is "long non-coding RNA (EGUI_LNC037402)". The record is from RNAcentral. Lineage: Eukaryota; Viridiplantae; Streptophyta; Magnoliopsida; Arecales; Arecaceae.
GGAUGGUGUGGGCAUAUUGUACGAUUGACAGAGUGAUUUAAAAUCUUUCAUGAAAAUCAACUCAGAUUUAAAGCAACGGAUUAGAUUCACUAGGUUCAUAAAUCAUAUAGAGAAAGAAUAUCAAAGGAAAGAUAAAUUAACAAGAUAGAACAUGGCUGAUCAAGCAAUACUAUUUGACAAUCUGAUUGGUUUAAUAAAGAUGAUUUAAGUAAAUCAUGAUUGAAUUAUUGUAUGGAUAGUUCAAU